Molecule: small nucleolar RNA, 217 nt
Organism: Camellia sinensis
Lineage: Eukaryota; Viridiplantae; Streptophyta; Magnoliopsida; Ericales; Theaceae
Product: small nucleolar RNA U3
Source: RefSeq, a predicted model, not a curated record
GUGACCUAACUUGAACCAAAUCUAUUCUUUAGGGUUGCACCUCUGGCUCCUCGAGCUCUAUCUAGUCAGGAACUAAGGUCUGGUUUAUGAACCAUUACUACUUGACCCGAGCGUGAUUGUCAUCCUUGUUGGACCUCUUUGGGCCAUCAAACCAUAUAGGAUUGCCCUCAGCCUAAUUUAACUGGUUUGAAUUGGCUAAGUAGUUGUCUGACAGAGU